This 253-nucleotide ribosomal RNA is filed under the name uncultured bacterium. RNAcentral describes it as "partial 16S ribosomal RNA". It matches the Rfam family "Bacterial small subunit ribosomal RNA", at positions 524 to 776 of the family's 1533-position model. The record is from RNAcentral.
UACGUAAGGGGCAAGCGUUGUCCGGAAUCACUGGGCGUAAAGCGCGCGUAGGCGGUUUUGUAAGUCGGGUGUGAAAUCCCCAGGCUCAACCUGGGAACUGCAUUCGAGACUGCAUAGCUAGAGUAUGGGAGAGGGAAGUGGAAUUUCAGGUGUAGCGGUGAAAUGCGUAGAUAUCUGAAGGAACAUCAGUGGCGAAAGCGACUUCCUGGACCAAUACUGACGCUCAUGUGCGAAAGCGUGGGGAGCAAACAGG